RNAcentral lists this ribosomal RNA (737 nucleotides) under uncultured Thermaceae bacterium. Its description in RNAcentral is "bacterial SSU rRNA". It matches the Rfam family "Bacterial small subunit ribosomal RNA", at positions 577 to 1318 of the family's 1533-position model. Lineage: Bacteria; Thermotogati; Deinococcota; Deinococci; Thermales; Thermaceae. The record is from RNAcentral.
GGUCUUUCAAGUCCGAUGCUAAAGACUGGGGCUCAACCCCAGGGGUGCGUUGGAUACUGUGAGGCUAGACGGUCGGAGGGGGUAGCGGAAUUUCCGGAGUAGCGGUGAAAUGCGCAGAUACCGGAAGGAACGCCAAUAGCGAAGGCAGCUACCUGGACGACUUGUGACGCUGAGGCGCGAAAGCGUGGGGAGCAAACCGGAUUAGAUACCCGGGUAGUCCACGCCCUAAACCAUGAGUGCUGGGUGUCCGGCUUCUGCUGGGUGCCGUAGCUAACGCGCUAAGCACUCCGCCUGGGAAGUACGCACGCAAGUGUGAAACUCAAAGGAAUUGACGGGGGCCCGCACAAGCGGUGGAGCAUGUGGUUUAAUUCGAAGCGACGCGAAGAACCUUACCAGGCCUUGACAUGCCCGGAACCCCUCUGAAAGGAGGGGGUGCCCGCAAGGGAGCCGGGACACAGGUGCUGCAUGGCCGUCGUCAGCUCGUGUCGUGAGAUGUUGGGUUAAGUCCCGCAACGAGCGCAACCCCUAUCCCUAGUUGCCAGCAGUUCGGCUGGGCACUCUAUGGAGACUGCCUGCGAAAGCAGGAGGAAGGCGGGGAUGACGUCUGGUCCGCAUGGCCCUUACGGCCUGGGCGACACACGUGCUACAAUGCCAAGGACAGAGCGCUGCUACCUCGCGAGAGGACGCCAAUCGCAAAAACCUUGGCUCAGUUCGGAUUGGAGUCUGCAACUCGACUC